Long non-coding RNA from Electrophorus electricus (electric eel), 3353 nucleotides. RefSeq lists it as uncharacterized. The record is from RefSeq and is a predicted model, not a curated record. NCBI's taxonomy places the organism in Eukaryota, Metazoa, Chordata, Actinopteri, Gymnotiformes, Gymnotidae.
CACCAGCCCUUUAAGACGUUUAUAAACAUUACGCAAUGCACUGAGGGCGGCCUGCAGCCAACAGCCCAGCAGCACAAAAGGGAGCGAGCGCUGAGCUCCUGAAGCCACCAGAUACCUCCAAGCAGCAACGGUCGCCGAGCUCCUCUGUGCGGCAGGCAGGGGAAACUCCCGUCACACAGAUAAGAGCCGUAGUGUCCCCGCAUCUCUGUCCUUCCUUCCGUUGUAGCACUCGGCGCGGACGUGCAAACGUGCGCCACGAACGAAUCGGAGAAGGGAGGGAGGGAGGGAUUGAUUUCUGGCAGCUUGCUCCCUUCCCUCAAUCUCUUUUAAUUAGUCAGGGCAAGAGAAAGGCUGUUCCAGAGCGGGAGAGAGAAAAACAAAAAAGGAAAGUCGGAGGAAAUCAAGGCAAGAGGUGUGGCGAGGUAGAGGGUCUGUUUACCUGCUGGAGGGCUCGUCUCUACGGGCACUGCCGCGCCAGAGCACUGGGUGAGAUCACGCUGGCGGUACCUGCCGCCACGCCCUUGCGGAGCUCUGGCGUCAGGAGGCUCUCUGCCAGAACUCUCCGUUUCCCUAGUUUACUCCAUCUUGGGGAGCGCGUGGUCGGCGAGAGCGUGGCACCAGAAUCCAAAACCCGCAGCCUCCGUUGGUGCCCAGCCCUCUGAGCCUCAGGUGAGCUGAAAUAAGCUUUGGCAUCGGAUCUUUUUCCCACGGUCAGCGCUGGGACUUUCUUUUUGUGUUUUUUUCUAGAUCUUUGUCAUUUGUUUGUUUGUUUUCUCUCCGCUCUUCUUGUGUUACGUGAAAUCUGAGUGGCCGGGAGGGGGGCGCGGCGUGGCGUGGGCGCGGCGUGGCGUGCUGAGCCACAUGGGCUGAACCCCCGCGCAAACCCCGGAGACACCUCUUGCAGCUCAGCUCGAUCCUCCUGCCCUGAUGAGGGGGGCUUCUCUCCCCCCCGCCAGAUUGACGCCAACGGCAGUGCAGUAGACGUUGCUGUGUGCAGGAGUUUUGAGUUUUCAGGACACUAAUCAUAUAGUUCCAUCCCGUGGGAGUCAGUCGUUGGGCCAGAGGUUCUCUGAUUAAUUCCACUGUUGGAGUCCGCGGUGAUCCUCUUUUGAAAACCCUUUAACGUCUAAAGGUGGGUGAUGUGGCUUUCGGAAUAUGACAGUGUUCACCAUGCGCAGUAUGCCUCAACAGCUUACUGUUUGUUGUUUACACACUUUUCAUACUUGCCUUUUUUUAAAUGUUGUUUGUUUGGUCAGUGAUCUCUAGAGGCAUUGGCGAUUAUAAGAAAAGCUUAGUGUAACGGAAUUUAUUAUGAUAACAAUACAUAUAGCCCAGCCAUUUCCACAAUCGCGGUGCUCUGUCGAGGACAGAGGUAUUUAUUAUACAGGUAUUUAUUCCGUCCAUUCAGAGCAACACCUGAUUUUUCUACUUCCCUGAUAGCGUACUGAGUGAAGCGCAAGUUCACUGAGUCAUGUGAUGCUUUGCACCUCUGGCAUGCAAUUCCUGCACACACCAUGGCCCCUCCUACAGGAACUGGAUGACCCAAAAGGCCAGAAAAAGAAGCGUUGAUCCGCACUGACCACUAGAAAUCUAUUCCAGACAAAGGCAGAUUUUUGUAGACACAGAAUCACAGAUACAAAAAUAAAUAAAUGCCCAAAUAAAUAAAAGAUUUCCUGCUAAAUCUUUAUUUCCUAGAAAUAUUUCACAAAAACAUCCAUUUGACUCUGAAAUAUUUAAUACUGCACUGCUUUGUGUAAACCCGUCCACGUGCCAGCAAGCAAAGUAGGGGCUUGGCAAGCCUCCGUACAGUAUUCAGCAUCUCAGGAAUGACUCAUUCUCCAAACUUACAUUAAGACAUUUUUCUUUAUCCAAUUAACUUUCAGCGUUUGCGAGAGAGCAUUAUCCAAAGCGCAAGGUGGGGCAGAGGAGCGCGGUUUAAGCGCCCCGUCUCAGCUCCUGCUGAGUGUCUGCUGGAGAUCCUCUAGUGCUGCUCGCCUUACAACCUGCACAGUCCUCGGAGAAAGAGUGUAGGGUUCCUGUGCUAAAUGGGUGGUGUGGGGUUUUGGGUGGUUGUUGUUGUUUUGGGUUUUUGUCUCCUCCCCCCAUGUCUUGCACAGGCCGCUCGGAGAGGACACGGGUUUUGGGUUUCGGCUUCGGCUUAAGAGGAAGUUGUUGGAUGCAGCAAAAGUAGCAGGAGUCGGGACCGAAGAGGCAAAUGAGAUAGCAGCAGCCUCAGCACCGGCAGCAUGCAGACUUCCACAGUGGGGUGCACGUCUACGAAUAUCUAGCUUGGAGAACCAACUUGGAAGACUUGCGCAUUAUCAGCUGAGACGUGCAUCACUCAGGACUGGAGACGAAGCCGUCCGCUUUGUUGAUCGAGGUGAAGGAAUAGAACAGGAAAAAUGUCUGACACGUGCCAGCUUACAACACCCUCCUGAUAUUCACAGAUUACACUUGAGGUAAGACAUCCAGAUAUUCACAAGUUCCAACACGCAGAGAAGAUGGAGGUUACCGUGGGAACAGAACAGUCCGGCCGCCUGUCGCACCUAAUAUACAAACACAUGAAAUAAAGACCCAAAAUAUCAGAAUGACAAAGGGCUGUCUGCACAUAUAGCAACUGAAUGUGCGAUGGUGGCGAACAUCACCGUCAAUGCAGUGUGGUGCAGGCCACUGUACAUUUAAAUCAACGGCCCGAGCCGGACCGACGUGAUGCCGAGAGAUCUUUACGCGGAGUGGUGCCUGAUGGAGAGCUGAUGAGAUGACUGCACGCCGGAAUGCAUCCUGCCGUUGCUGCACCCAUAACCGGCACUAAGGUCUGUAAGGAAAGGACAGUCUGAUUUGCACUGGGAUUAUUGUGUUCUCAUUUUUCAGUCAUGCUGUAAACUGCAGAACUCCAGAGCACAGAAUAAAACGAGCAGAUGAGUGAGAGUGUGAGAGCUCUUUUCACGACAGACAACUUGCCCCCGAAACUGCCUGCUACAGUGGAAUUUUAGCCUACAUCAAACCAGAACUUUCUGCAUGUAUGAUGAGUAAAGACACGUGAACAAACAAGAAAAAGAAACUGAUCCUUAGUGCAUAGCACCAGUAACAACUGCACUGCAAAAAUCUUAUUACAGAUGAACAUUACAUAUUUUUAUGCAGCCAAUAAAAAGAACAAUAAACAAAAACUGAUUUUUUUUUUCUUCUUCACAGUGCAUGACUUUACACUUAUAAUUAAUCCUAAUCAAGUCUGGCACCAGUAUGGCAAGUGUGAUCAGGUAACUACUAAUAGUUAGCGUCUGGCUUCUAUCUUACAAUAUUUGAUGCUACAUGUGAAUUACAAUUACUGCUGUGAAAAUAAAACCUUGAGACUU